This 523-nucleotide ribosomal RNA is filed under the name Neurospora crassa. RNAcentral describes it as "eukaryotic LSU rRNA". The stretch from base 205 to 358 matches the Rfam family "5.8S ribosomal RNA". Lineage: Eukaryota; Fungi; Ascomycota; Sordariomycetes; Sordariales; Sordariaceae. The record is from RNAcentral.
GCGGGAGGACAUUACAGAGUUGCAAACUCCCACAAACCAUCGCGAAUCUUACCCGUACGGUUGCCUCGGCGCUGGCGGUCCGGAAAGGCCUUCGGGCCCUCCCGGAUCCUCGGGUCUCCCGCUCGCGGGAGGCUGCCCGCCGGAGUGCCGAAACUAAACUCUUGAUAUUUUAUGUCUCUCUGAGUAAACUUUUAAAUAAGUCAAAACUUUCAACAACGGAUCUCUUGGUUCUGGCAUCGAUGAAGAACGCAGCGAAAUGCGAUAAGUAAUGUGAAUUGCAGAAUUCAGUGAAUCAUCGAAUCUUUGAACGCACAUUGCGCUCGCCAGUAUUCUGGCGAGCAUGCCUGUUCGAGCGUCAUUUCAACCAUCAAGCUCUGCUUGCGUUGGGGAUCCGCGGCUGUCCGCGGUCCCUCAAAAUCAGUGGCGGGCUCGCUAGUCACACCGAGCGUAGUAACUCUACAUCGCUAUGGUCGUGCGGCGGGUUCUUGCCGUAAAACCCCCCAUUCUAAGGUGACCUCGGAUC